Molecule: long non-coding RNA, 1031 nt
Organism: Astatotilapia calliptera (eastern happy)
Lineage: Eukaryota; Metazoa; Chordata; Actinopteri; Cichliformes; Cichlidae
Source: Ensembl
CGAUUGUGCAUGUAAUCCUGGAGACUUAUGGCUUCAGACAGUGUAUUUGCACCAAGGCUAUGAUCAGCAAGGCUGCUUUGAAAUAUGAUGGCAAGUCCAAGAGACGACCAGGCUGCAAGAGGGAGUGAGAGUGGAGGAGGAAGUGAUAGCUUCAGAGAAAGAAGGACAAAGGCAGAAGGGGAGGGAUGUCAAGAGGAGAGAAAUAAAUAAAAACGAUAACAUUGUUUAAGAAAACAGGUAUGUGAGUUUCAACAGAGAAAGGGAGAAAGACAGAAAAGGAAAGUAAGCUAGUGUCUGAAAUCAAAAUAAAAUGUAAAAGACCACUGAAUCAUUUCUGCUAUUACUUUCAUUGCAUUAACAAAAUGCAGGAACAGCAGGUAACACAAAAAUCCUCAUAUUUCACAAAGAAUGACUUUGCUGAAAAGAAUCUUUGGCCUUACUGAGUGCCAAUCAAUAACAGAGCUCAUCCUACCAGAACAAUAGAAAAAAAUCGCUCAUAUGUUGCCUAGUUUGGGUUUUCCCUUUUCUUUUCUUUUCUUUUUUUUUUUUCUUUUUUUUCUUUUUUUUGAGUGAAUUGAGGGACAGUCACCAUCUUUGCCUCUCUUUAGUGCAUGGUUAAUCAAAAGUAGCGUCUUCCUCUAUUAAAACUUCCUUACACCCUCUUUCCUUCUAUGACCUUGAAAUUGUUCUUUCUCUGCCAUCAUCAAGGAUUUGCCAGCUUCCAAAUCGAAGAAACGAGGAGGUUUCUGUAGGAGCCUGGAGCAGGGAAUGACAGACAUGUUUUAUCACAUGGCUGACAAAAGAUCAUAGACUCUAAGCUGGUGACAGUUUUUUCCCUACAGUGCUCAUAGAAACCAACACAUGAUACCGUUAGUUCAUAUGCAGCAUACUGUGCCUUUGAACAAACCUACCAGAUUAGCUAUAUAUUGUAAUGUCAGUGUUGUUGUUGUGUCAUAGUAAUUUGUGUUUUAUCUUAGUAAAGACACACUCAUUUCAAAAAUUUACUUUAAAACAGCAAUAUUAAUUAAUAU